Molecule: microRNA, 21 nt
Filed under: Gossypium raimondii (Peruvian cotton)
Lineage: Eukaryota; Viridiplantae; Streptophyta; Magnoliopsida; Malvales; Malvaceae
Description: gra-miR7484e
Source: miRBase by way of RNAcentral
AUUUAAUGUAUAGGGACUAAU